Molecule: long non-coding RNA, 603 nt
Organism: Halichondria panicea
Lineage: Eukaryota; Metazoa; Porifera; Demospongiae; Suberitida; Halichondriidae
Exons: 3
Source: RefSeq, a predicted model, not a curated record
AUAGCGCUAUUUAUUUUUGUUACACUUGGCGUGCCAUAGGACCUAGGAGUCAAGAGUCACCUGCAUCUGCAGCUUGAAAGAAAGACAAUUGCAAAUUUUCUUAAAGAGUAGAUAGUACCACCAUCUCAAAGAAAAAAGUUAAGUUCCAUUGCAUGCUGUUGGCGCAUGGCAUGUACAUGAUCCCAAAACUCUCUGAAUUCACAGUUUACAAAUCACUGCUAUACCGUAUCGGCGUAUAACUCCACCAUGUACCAGCUUCAAAGAAAAAGGAUUUAAGUUAUGUUGCUCAUUGCUAAAUAAAUGUGUUUACGUGUUUCUUCCAGCUGCAGAUUUUACCGUACCUCGGCCCCACAUGUACAAUGUGUACCAGCUAGGAGUCUACUUAACCACCUUCAUCGACUUCAAAGAAACGACUUGGGCUUAUUGUGACGAAAAUGAUCUGAGGGAUGUAGCGUUCAUGAAACCAAACGAAACGCCUGCAGUUCACUGUACUGGAAUUUCAAGAAACGCUAAGUGAUGAACACUAAAAACAAUUUACUGACAGAAGAAAUGUAUUGUGCUGCAUGUCAUGUGAUCCAGUGAUCUUAUUCUAUCAUAAACUCA